UAAUACGUAGGGUGCGAGCGUUAAUCGGAAUUACUGGGCGUAAAGCGUGCGCAGGCGGCUUUUUAAGCCAGAUGUGAAAUCCCCGGGCUUAACCUGGGAACUGCAUUUGGAACUGGAAGGCUAGAGUGCGGCAGAGGGGGGUAGAAUUCCACGUGUAGCAGUGAAAUGCGUAGAGAUGUGGAGGAAUACCGAUGGCGAAGGCAGCCCCCUGGGUCGACACUGACGCUCAUGCACGAAAGCGUGGGGAGCAAACAGGAUUAGAUACCCUGGUAGUCCACGCCCUAAACGAUGUCUACUAGUUGUUGGAGGAGUGAAAUCCUUUAGUAACGAAGCUAACGCGUGAAGUAGACCGCCUGGGGAGUACGGUCGCAAGAUUAAAACUUAAAGGAAUUGACGG
RNAcentral lists this ribosomal RNA (397 nucleotides) under uncultured bacterium. RNAcentral describes it as "bacterial SSU rRNA". It matches the Rfam family "Bacterial small subunit ribosomal RNA", at positions 521 to 916 of the family's 1533-position model. The record is from RNAcentral.